This is a long non-coding RNA of Bos taurus (domestic cattle), 4160 nucleotides long. The record is from Ensembl. Lineage: Eukaryota; Metazoa; Chordata; Mammalia; Artiodactyla; Bovidae.
AGGCCACAGACUCUUAUAUGAAGUAGACUAAGCAUUCAAAAUAAACCAAGACGUCAGAGUGAACUCUGGAGUCCCCGGCUCUGUUGGAUCCAGUGGAAAUCUAAAACCUAAAGAGAGAGGGUACCUCUUUCUACGAACUCGGAAAGAAGCAUGAGAUUCUACUGUGAUCUCUCUCGCAACCAGGGAUAACUCAGACCCCGGGAGAACCUGGUGGGCCGCUGCAGACCCGUCUUUGCUGGCGGUGGAGGCUGGACUCUGUCCGAGGGGACCAGACGCAAGGCGUGACCAAGUCUGUGGGUAACCUGUCACAGUUGAGUCCGAGAAGGAACAGCCUCAGAGAGGGUCAGGAUCCCUCAGGGGGUGACUGCAGGUCAGACUCCAGAAGCCAAGAACCACGCGCACAGGCAGGAGCAGAAAUGAACAGCAGGGAGACGUGAAGGGCCAGCGAGGGAUCCAUGCCAGGACGGUUGGCAACGUCUGGGAACAUUUGGGGGUGUCACACAGGUGUGGUGUGAGUCGCGUGGCAUCAAGUGAGCCGAGGCCAGGCUGCCCGUCACCACGCUGCCUCCUUCAGCAUCACCGUGCGACACCCUGCUUUGCAUGGGACAGCUCCACGCAGCCAAGAAUUAUCCAACUCCAAACUGAGCUUGAGAAGCCCCAGGACAGACUGGGUCAAUGGUGUAACAACACGCUUCCUCCUGAGCGACUUCUGAGGAGGAACUAACCUCCCUGGAGCUGCCGGUCUCCAUGCUCUGUACACCCAGCUGCUGUGUGAACAGGCCACUCUCAAAGCUAGAAGGACCACAGAGAGUGAGAAAUACGAGGGCAGAGAUUCUCUAACCAGUCACCCCCGUGGUCAUUUUGCCAAAGUGUAUGUUUAUUGACCAAUUACAGCAGAGAUUUACAGAGUAGAAUUAUGCUUUCACUGAAGUAAGGCCAAUACCCUUCCCUCCCAAGCCACCAGUGAGCUCUGUGACCAGGGACAAAGUCAGCUAAUAGAGCCGGGUGUUCACGGGGGCCUGGGAUUUAUACUUUAAUUGUUUCCACGGCUCCCUGUCUCACGGAGGUAUUUGUCUUGGUACAUGGACACCAACAGUGUGCCAUAACAUUACACAGAGGAUUGUGAGGGUUUUUUUUUUUUAAUUAUUAUUUCAUCUGUAAUUAUAGGCAAGACCAGUUUAUUAUUGAGAAAUCCUUGAAAACAUUUUAAUUGAAAUGGUCAGCAGCCUUUCACUGAUCCAGUCCCACAAUAGACCCUGGCAACCUAAGUGUGUCCAACUAAUGGAUUAAGAAGGAGAGUCCCUGUUCUAAACCAGAGCAUAAGUGUUAUUUAAAAUUUUGGAUUUAAGUGUUUUUUUUUUUUUUUUUAAGAUUUAUGGCACAGUUGAAAUGAGGUCAAGUAGAAGCACUAAAGAAUUUAAUUAGAAAUGUCUUCGCAUGCCCCCCUCCUCUCUGUAAACCCUGCAUAGGUUGUCUCUGGAGAGCUUGAAGUCAUUUGAGAUGGCGUGUACUUUUUCUUUUUUUCUUUUUUUAAUUCCUAAUAAGAAGGAGGUCCAAUCCCCUGCCGUGUCUUCAGUGGGAAAUGCUGGGGAUCUAGACAGCAGAGGCCGAAAAGGGAACAGCAGCAGGGCAAGGAAAGGGACGAGGGCCUUUCAGCUGGCCUCCACAAAAACAUUCAUUUAUCCAGAACAUUUCCUGAGCACUUUGUCUGUCUCAACGCGGUGCAAGGGGCUGGGAACCCUGAUGGGAGCGAGAUGCUGUCUGUACUCUCAAAGAUCUCCUGGCUGAAUGCAACAAACAGAGGCGACUAAACAAACACAAGAAAACAGCACCGUUGCUUAAACAUCUUGGGAACCCGAAGGCAGGAGUGCUGGCCUUUCCCUGGAGAGCUCACUGGAAGGCGUGGCCUGGGAUCUGGGCCUUGAAGGAUGUGUAGGGGUUCUCAGUGGACCUACAGGAGGGAGAUGCAGGGAAAGGAGACCCCAGGGAGAGGACACAGCCUGUGCCCUGACACAGACAUGGGUGAGGAUGGCUCAGCAGAGCUGAGUGGUGGGCAAACAUUCUCUGGGACCUAGAGGGCCAAUUGGGAGCUACAGCAAUUAAGUGUGCUACGGCAGAGGAGAGGCCAGAAAGCCAUUCAGUUUGGAAACCAGGUGCUUGAGCUGGGAGCUCUCCUCUUACCCUUUGAAGCUCAGGCUAUGCCUGCCUCCCCCCUCCAACACAGAUUAUGGAAGCCUCAGGGUUUCAGCCCCUGGCUGGGCUCAGUGGAGUUCCAGGAUGAUGGUGCUGGUACCACUAAGGAGGGGGUCUCGAGAGGGGGACGGGAAGAAUGCUUGGGCUCCGGGAGGCUCUCGAGAGGGGGAUGGGAGGGAUGCCGGGGCUCUGGGAGGCUUGGCUGGCAGUCGGGGCUGGGAAGGGUGUUUCCUGCGCUUCCUUCUGCUGCCGAUUCCACUGUCAAGGAGUAGACCAAACAGCGUCAGUGACUGUGACUCUGAUUGCUGUUGUGUGUGUUAGUCAUUCGGUCAUGUCUGACUCUCUGCGACCCCAUGGACUAUAGCCCACCAGGCUCCCCUGUCCAUGGAAUUCUCCAGGCAAGAAUACUGGAGUGGGUAGCCUUUCCCUUCUCCAGGGGAUCUUUCCAACCCAGGGAUUGAACCCGGGUGUCUGGCAUUGCAGACGGAUUCUUUACUGCCUGAGCCACCUACUACCAGCGGCUAUUGUGUGCCUAGGGUGCUGGGCGUUUCCUCUAUUAUGUUGACUAUGUAUAACAACCCUGCAUGGUCUGGGAUUUUUAGAGAUUCACCUUCCUUGCUGCUCCACAGGGAAGAACCGUUAGCCGGUGUUAACUAAAUCAAUUCCUCUCCCUACCUACCCUGGAGCCCAUGCAUGGAGCCGCCCACAUGAGAAGCAGCUUGAUGCAAAUCAAGGCUCACAGUUAGACUGGUUGCUUCGGUGGCUGCCACUGUGAGGACCACGUGGGGGAAAAAUCUUCUUUCUCUACACCAUGGGUGGGUUCUGUCUUGGGUUUAUAUUCUCGUGGACCAGACAUCUUCCAAAGCAGGUGUUAAGAGAGGUAAAUUGACUGCCAGUUGAUUUGAAGAUUCCUCCAGGGCAUCCCAAAGUAAAUUCUGCAUAUGCUUGAUGUAUCAGUCAGCUUUUGCUGCAUAACAAAGCACCCCCUCCCCUCCAACUAAAGCAGCAAUCAUAUCUAUCUGUAGGCUGCGGGUCGGCUGAUGCAGGCUGAGUGUGGCUCUAGGCUAUGGACUGGGUUCAUAUCUACUUGAUGUGACUCUCUCCUUUUUUUUUGGGGGGGGGGCUAGUGGUCCCCUGGGAGUACUCCCCUCGUGGUAGGAGGCAGGAGUGUGAAAAGGCAGCACUAGCAAUGCAAGGACACUUUAGUCCCCUGCUUGUCUGUCUGCUCAUAUCACACUGCAAAACAGGGUCCGUGGCCAAGUCAGUGGUGAGGCUCAUGUAGCUGAACUGCUUCUUACCCACCUAGGUCAGGACUGACCGAGGCACUGGGUGGGUUCUACAUCUGGGGGGUUCCUAUCAGCUAGCCCUCUGCCGCACCAGCCAAGGCAGGGGCUGUCCCUCCCUGCUCAAGGCUGGGACUGAGCAUCACCGGUGUGCAUCUUCAGGCCUAAGAAACACACCCUACGGCUCUUUAUUUGAAAGGGGCCUGGAGCAGACUUUUGCAAAAUAAGUUGCUUUUCUAGAUGAAUCCAACUCUUCCUGCAUUUGAAAAAUAAAUGUGCACUAAAAGUAAUUAACGCAUGUUGGUUCAUGAAUAAUACACUAUUUUACAACUAUUUGCUGAGCAUAAUGAGACAAGCUACUAAAUUGACAAUGAAUGUUCUAUUAUGUGAUUGCCAACUGUUUUAUAAGAUACUGAACAUAUUCAUUUCUUCUGCCAUCGUGUGUAUUAUCAAGCUAUUGCUUUUUAAUAAAUUAAUUUUCCAGACAUCUCUGGGGUCUUUGUUGGAAAUCUGGCUGAGGGCGAAAAUAAAAUUAAUUGUGUGGUCUGUGCAGAACUACCAGUGUUUGCUGGCUUACAAACAAAGUGUCACCACUGGCUGCCCCCGAAACAGACCCUGCGUGUGGCACGCAAGUGUGAAGGGAGAUGCCUCUUCAGCCCAGGAUGGUGUGAAAAGACCAAGUGG